This 253-nucleotide ribosomal RNA is filed under the name uncultured bacterium. Its description in RNAcentral is "partial 16S ribosomal RNA". It matches the Rfam family "Bacterial small subunit ribosomal RNA", at positions 524 to 776 of the family's 1533-position model. The record is from RNAcentral.
UACGUAGGGGGCAAGCGUUAUCCGGAAUUACUGGGUGUAAAGGGUGCGUAGACGGUAAUGUAAGUCUGGAGUGAAAGGCGGGGGCCCAACCCCCGGACUGCUCUGGAAACUAUGUUACUAGAGUGCAGGAGAGGUAAGCGGAAUUCCUAGUGUAGCGGUGAAAUGCGUAGAUAUUAGGAGGAACACCAGUGGCGAAGGCGGCUUACUGGACUGUAACUGACGUUGAGGCUCGAAAGCGUGGGGAGCAAACAGG